RNAcentral lists this long non-coding RNA (10753 nucleotides) under Xyrichtys novacula (pearly razorfish). The record is from RNAcentral. Lineage: Eukaryota; Metazoa; Chordata; Actinopteri; Labriformes; Labridae.
GGCUGCAGCAGGAGGGACCAGGGGAGCAAGAGGAGGACAGACUCCGGCACGCUAACAACCACAACCAUCAUCAUCAUCGCCAUCGCCAUGCGUACCUGCUGCUCUGGGGACUCGCUGCCUCCUGUCAAACAGCACGAGGACCCCGCUUCGCCUGCAAUGCGAAGCCGCGUGUGUGUAAAUGUAUGUGACUGCAUCUGCUUGUGUGUUUGUGUGUGUACAUGUGUGCGCGAGCAUCCUGCUGUCUACAUAACUCCUUCUCAGUCUUGGCUCACUCUUUGGCUUUGACUGUUCACUCCUCUUUCUCUUCCUUCACCUCACCCCUCUGUCUCCCCCUCCUCCUCCAUUUCUCACUGUAUCACUCCAUAUAUUCAUGAAUUUUCCUGUUUAUCAUGAAAACUUAUGCAUGAAAAUAGAGGGUGGGAAGGAGAAAAAAAAACAAAAACAACAACAACAAAAAAAAAGGGUGAAUGUUGAUGGGGGUUUUGUCUGGUCCGGGUGCAGCGCUGCACAGGCAGCAUGACUCUCAGGGGACUCCUGCUAGAAGACCCUGAUUCCAUCUCCCUUUUCUUUUCAUUUCCUGUCUUUUCUUUCUUUCCAUUUCACCUUCCUUCCUUUUUUUCCCCUCCCUUCUUUUUCCAAACAUUCAUCCCCCCUUUGCUUUAGCUUGCCCCCACCUCCCCGCUGCCUUUCUCUUCUCUCUCUCCUUCACAGUGUCAAAGCCAGUUACAGGCAGAGGAGCUCUCCUUCUUAAAUAAUUCACAAGUUGAUUAAUAGACUCACAAGGGUAUAAUUAGGCAGGGGAGAGAUGGUGGCUAGUGUAACCAGUACAGUGCUUAAGGGAAUUAGAGAGCAGGGUUAUUGAGGAAAUGGAGAGUACCAGUUAAAAAUAAAAUAAAAUAACGCGGCGGCGGCUGCAGUAGUGGACUCGUGGAGGAGAUGAAGAGGCAGGGGGGGGGAGGAUGAGGAGGAAGGGGAUGGGGGUGGGGGGCACCUUUUUUGAGGCUAUGUGUUGGAUAUGAGGCAGCCUCACCAGGAGCACAGAGCCUAGGGUUUGUUUGAUGUGGAAAUUGGACAGUUUGAAUCCGUCUCCUUUAAUUUUUCACAACUUACAGGGCCCCCCUGGGUGCCUCACAUUCCUCUUAUAGGAUAUAAAUUAGUUUUUUUGUCUUCUCUCUCCCUCAGUUUUUAAACCCCCUUUUUUCCUCCUUUUCUUUUACACAUUACCCAGGUACCCCUGUUAUAUUUUUCUCAGCGCCUUCUUCCUCCUCCUCGCUGAACGGAGUUGCAGUUUCACCCCCGAUGUUUGUCAAGCAGUCAGUCAUCAGCAUAAAACUUCACUUAUGUUGCCUCUAAGGCAUCUUUUGUAUUCUGAAAGGGAUGUGCUUUCCGCUGCCAGACUGGUCUUCAAAACAAACAAACAGAACAAUGAAACAACAGAUCUCUCUACUCAGUUCAGACAUCAUAUUCCUGUUGUGGUGAUCUCUGUCUGCCUCACUUUUGCUGUUAAAAUAAAAUGAAAAGAACCAACAGAAAUACACCCAGACAGGUACAACACUAUGCCUUUUCCAGCUUGUGUGAGUGUGUGUGUUUUUUUCCCCCUCUCUCUCCUUCCCGGGAACUUCUCUGUGAGUUAAAGCAGUCAUAUUGGGUACACACUUCUUUUUCUUUGGUUUGCUCCUCUGUAUUUAUUUCAUUGUCGAUAUCUCAGAUUGCUUCCCGUGGUCCCGCUCAGCCGUGUUUCCUCGCACUCAGGAUUCGCCGAUAUCCAAACAGACUGAUGUGUCCAUCCCGGCACGCGGAGCCGGCUCUGAUGUGCGGCGUGUCUGCCUACAUGUCGACGUGUCAACUCUAAUUCAAACUCCUCUGUUCUUUUCUCAUCUGUCUGCUCCAGAUGUUGCACUAGGUGUCAAAAUGGAUACCCGGCUCCUGAGGAAAAAAAAAGGCAGAAAGCAACACAUUUCUCUGUUUGUAGAAACUGAUAGAUACACUUUGAAAUUCAAUUCAGGCAUGCAAGAGGAGAUGAGCCCAAUUCAGAGAGCGAACGCCUUGAUGCCAUUGCUGAUUUCACUUCUUGCUUGUUAUCUUGCUUGUAAUCCUCUGACGUGCCCGCCUAGAGGAAAAAAACAGGCUUCUUAUUGGUUCAUUCACUGGAUUUCUUGUCCGUAUUUGACAAUCGCACAUUAAUUAUCCUAACUGUAACCUGUAAUUGGCCCGUCUUUGUUGUCCCCAGCAGACGAUUAAUGACUUCUUAAUAUUUUCUCAGCUGUGUAGAUACCCUGCCACCAGGAGGCGCUGAAAAGAGCGGGACCCCCGUGUGUUGAUUUAUUUAUCCAUGUCUGGAUUAAAGUCUGUACACCUGAUAAAGGGGAUGUCAGAGGAGCUUUGACAGCCACAGAGGCAGCAGAGUGUGUGCGAUUUGGUCGCUGCGCCGGUAGAAACAAGGAGUGUCGAUGGCAUCUUUGAAGUCUUGACAGACGAGAGCCUCUGAGCAUCCCCUUAAUCUUGCCUUCCCCUCAGAAAAGGCAUGCGAGCAGGCAGGUUCUGAGCGCGCUCGGCUCCCUGUUUGCCUUAUUCUCUUAAUGACACAAACUAUUCAGCGACCACGCAUGAUGGCAUUUCAUCUGGCAUAAUGUGUGGUGGCUGCUUACUUCAAACGCUUCAGUGCAUCUCCGCAUUAAGCCGGCUGGAGACGGCAAGAGCCGGGACAUGAACACACAAGGAUUCUCCUAUUGGCUUGAUGGGAUGCCUGUGUGUUGGGUAUGCUGUUUGAUUGUGCUGAUUGUUUUCGCGGGCCCACCUUAAGCAAAUACAAAGAAUCUGUCGUGUAUGAUUGUCUGGAAAUCAGAUCAGUGGAGAGAGAUAUGUUUCACAAGUGAGCGCUCUGUCUGCCUCAAGUGAUCCACAGCACUUCUAAUGACCCUUGAACUGUUCCUAUUAUUGUUUCUUCACAGAGCACAUGCUGAAUGAUAUUGCUUCUUCAUGCAAAGACAAGCCACUACAAAGCCAAUGUCAGGCAGGUGCAGCAAAAACGAUGAAGGGCUGCCGUGCAUCACUUUGCGCUCCAUCUUGAGCUUAUUUCCCAUCAGCGGUGAUUUGAUGUUUUUCCUCCUCUUCCAAUCUUCCUACCUUUCACAUCAAGGACAAUGACAGAGCAGAAACGCAGGCAGAACAGAGUGCAAGGGGCGUUCGUCGUACACGACCAGAGCUGCUGGGCAGAGAAGGGCGCUGGGGUUAAUUACUCUAUUACCGGGUGGCUCAGCCAGGAGCUGUUUAAACAGGCCCCAGCUAGCAGGGGAUUAGGCCUCAUUACUCCAGCUAAAGUUACGCGCACGACCCUUCCCCACUGCCUCCACAACCACGAGUUUGUCAGGCAUUCUGGGGAAUAUUCAUACUGGGGGAGGCGGGGAGGAUAUAGGAAGGAAUGAGGGAUUAACACCAAGGAGAGACACAAGGACAGGUAAGGGGAAGGAGAGCAAACCGGCCAAAACGACAAGGCUUAACUCCAGCUGAUCACCUGCAUCAUCACUUGAGCCCGGCCAGGGCUACAAUUAUCCCCCAAAAUGCCAGAGCGUUGCAAGAUUAGCAUCUGAGGCUUAGGUUACCCUCCCACCGAACCGAACCCCCGGCCAUCUUCAGCCACCGCCUCUCAGCCGUCCUCCCCCUCCUCACCCGGGUAUCUGAUGGCACUCCGUGAUAAUGACGGUGCUCUAGUUUGCAGGAAGGACAGGCCAUGUGCAAUUAGGUCUAUGUUUGUGGUCCAUGAACAGUGUGCGAUGGGUCAGUUUACCGGGUCUAUAGGGCAUGAAAUAUGUUGGUUUACAGUGACACUCAUAUUCACGAUGAAAUGAGUCUUCAUGAAUGAGUAAUGUUUGUUCACUUCAGAUGUACAGUAACCCUGUCCUCAUAAUCAGGGUUUUAUGAGUUGGUGUAGUUAAUAGUUUAGUUAAACUUUUCACUCAAUGAUCCUUCUCUGUUGGUUGACCGAAUGUUUGGUUAAGUCAGCAUCACCAAGAUGGCGAUUUGCCUCAAAACAGGUGAUUUCACUGAUGGCUACAUCCAGUGAUUUCUACACCAUUCUGUGGUGUGGAGGCAAUUUAGAUUCCCUUGUAUUAAAACAUAAAUUGGAAAACUCUGACUUCACAUCAAGGAAAAUGAACAUGAGACGCCACUUGUUAAUCAUCACCCAAAAGAUUUGAGAUGAUACGAGGAGAAAAUCCAUCUCAAAGCCUGUGAUGGAAAUGUUUCACAGCUUUGCUUCCACAUAACAGACUAAAGAACAUGCAGACUGUGGUGUCUGUGGUUAACAACAAUAGAUUGAGGUUAGUAAACCCAGUUAAACCAAAGUGUCAUGGCCAUAGACUGUAUAUACUAUGGACAACUUGGUUCCGGUUUUUCAUCUUUUCCUGAAACCAACAUUGCGCAGUAGCGUUGUACACACUUCACCGCUUGUGCAGUAGCAUUGUACGCAUUCAGCGGGAGAGUCGCCGAGAGUCGCUGUGAUGACACUCGUCUCAAACAGCUUAUCCCCCGGGUGAGCUACGCAAUCUUCAUACGCCCAUAGGCUGUAUCAAGUGUCAAUCAAAGAAAACAUGAACCCUUGAUAACUUUUUACAACGGAGCUGUACAGAAAAAAGAGGACUUGAGCACAAACCAGUCUUACUGUGACUAUACUGUAUGUCAACAUCGCAAGCAGGGGGAGAAAAAUGUAUAUACUGUGUAAUAAAUUUCUAAAGUUUGUCCACAGCUUCAUAGGGAUUGCUGGAGGAGGCGGGGUUUAUGACCUAUACUGCAGCCCAUCGCCAGAGGGUGCUGUUCUCAGAGUAGCUUCACCCAGCGAGGAGGCAGACGGCGUCCAUUCUCUUUACAGUCUACGGUCAUGUCCAUGUCAUGAAUGGCAGAAUUCAUCUCACAGACCACAGGUUGGUGGACUCCAUGAACUAUUUAGAGUCAAACAAAUGACGUUUUUCACCAAUAAAUACCGUACUUCACUGUCAUAACUGUCAUACUAUCAUAGAGAGGUAGAAACGAUUAAUCCACAAAAAAUUCACAUACAUGAGGUUCUGAUAUAAUGACAUCCCCAACAACGAACCUUCACUGCACAUAACUCAACAUAUGUCUUCUUGUUAAUAAAGAAGACUGCAAAAGCAGGAGGGGAAAAAGGAAAAUUUCUCUCUUUUUGGAUUGAGAUGAAAUGUAAAUGGCUGUUAGUUAGAGCUGAGUAUUUCUUUUACUGUGAAACUGAGUACUUGUUCAGUUGUGUUUCACUCACAAUGAAACCUAACCUGCUUCUUCCUGUCGAUAUCGAUAUGCCUGGGAGGAUAAAGACUUAAGGGAUGUAUUUCAACAAAGUUGCCAAUGGAUCAGAUGGCUAAAGGAGUGGGUGUCUUCCAAUUAGAAGAGUCAACUGUGUACUGGGAGAACUAAUCCAAGGGCUUUUCAAAACAGAUUUGUGAGAGCUUGAGUUGUGGCCUGCUGAACUGUACACUCAAAGUUUUGUGUCAGUGCCCCUUUGUCUUUAGUUCAACCACCUGGAACACACAAGAAGAAGGAAAAAAAGCCCUACAGACAUACGCUUUUGUACCGCACAUUCACACAGUGGUCACGCAAAUCUCUUCAGAGGGUCUGCCAAACGCUGUCGAUAAAAAUCCUAUUUCAUGUGAGUCAAAAUGUUUCUUGAUUUAUGGGACAUGCUCGCUUGCCAAACUAUGUGAUUUAAGAUCCAAUCCUGAACAGAGCCUCUAUUAUAUAAUUGAGGACAGGAAAAUCAAUAGAAGCAGCUGGAUGUGGCCGUGGCAGGCACGCUGCGCAUCCAUAUUGAAAGUGUACCCUCUUCGAUCUGUGUCUGGCCCAGGCUCAGCUUCACUAGCCUAAUCACACACGGAGCUGGUCGAUUGGAGGACUUAGCCAGUGGCGCUCUCCAAUGGCAUAUGUUAACAUGAUUCCCCCUCUUGCUCGCUGUUAAGGAAAAAAAAAAAAAGCUGCACCUGAGAUCUGUGGCCAUUGAGAGUCAGAAAAACAGGGAUUGUUUUAAACAUAGCCUGAGGUGAGAGCGAGAUUCUCCGCUCCGGUAACCUGAGCAAGCUGGAGGCGGACGGCUGAGGACAAGAGGGGCAAACAGGAUAUUUAUCCUAUUGAUUUUCUAAAGUUGAAACAAGAAGAUUUAGGGGGGCUUGACUCUUAAAAUUCCCAAGGAGCCAUUCACUUCUCAGCCGCAUGGCCAUGAACACACACUCACACACACACACGCAGAAAGCAUCCUGCUUGUGAGAGUGUGAGUGAGGUUUAGGGGCCUUGAGCUGCAAAGCUGUGCUGUGCUGUGGAAUGAUGUGCCCCAAUGUGUGUCAGAGGAAUCAUUAUAGCUAGUGCUAGUGCCAAAGCCCGCCUAUGGUGUAUGAGUGAGUGUGUGCACGCGUGUUUGUUUGUGUGUGUGUGAGUCAUGUAGCAAAGUGGAGGUGUGAGCAGACAACAGAUGGGAAGGGGCCUCAGAAUUGCAGAGACGUGGCUUUUGUCUCUCCUGCUGAAGGGAGGAAACCCGCAAAUCAACAACAAACGCACAGUGAAGGAAAAUGCGUGGGAAUGUGACUCAGCAUAGAGAAAGUCUCCUGGAGAUUUACAAAUUCAGAUGGCAGGUUCACAGAGCAGGGACUGAGAAACUCGGCCUGUUGCUAUAUAUUUAGUCAUAAAUUUUGCAUUAGGAUAACGAUCUCGCUGAUAAUGGUGAUUUUUUUUCUCCUUUUCAGACUAACAGGCUGCUAGAGGAGUUGAGAAACACGUUAUCCUCAUUGUUAAGAGGUGAACAUUUUCCUGGAGGGAGUUAUUUUGGGCAUUUAAAGCUCAAGAAGUAAAACUACUCUAAGUUCCUACCUAUGAAUGAAUUACUUUUAACUACCGUAGAACAAUAGGCAUAUAUAUGGUUUAAAGGGUGAGAAAAUCCCAUAUGAGUUUGUUUAACAAAUGAAACCUAAAAAAAUCCACCAAGUGCCUUUUAUAAAUAUAAUUUAUAGGCUAAAUAUUUGGCUAAAGUUUCUGACCCUUGCACUUCAACACACUGGGGAAACCUGCUUAGUGAGCAGUUGUUUUCUCAUCAGCUAAAAUGGAAGGUCUGAGGAUAAAGAAACAAACAAACAUGAACUCUCGAUAUGUCUAAGAUCCUACAGAAAUGUGGACAAAUGCCAUUGUCUCCAGAGUGACAUUCAUUUUCAUGUAUAUAAGUUGCAAAUAGAGCCGUUCACUUCACCAUUUGUCAAAGUGAGCGCUCUUAUUGUAAUGCAUUCACACAGGACACUGUCAAAAUCAUGAUGGGACCAGGAGUUAAUGCUUUGACAGGUGCAAUUAUGACUGUAGCCUCUGAACAUGGGGCGCCUGCUUUGCUGACUGAGCUAAAAAAUGUUAUCUCAACCAGGGCCCUGACAAUCCUGAAAUUAAACAUUUUGUUUUUUUCUGGCACAGGUGAGACAAGAUUUGAGUACACUACAUAACCCCCCCGAGGCAAUUUUUGCCAUCAGCCAAUUCCUACCAGGUUUGUGUUGUGCGGCAAAUUUCGUGGCGGAUUACGGACAGCGGGAAUCACGAGAACUCACAAGAACCCGCGGUUUCACAUGCAAUCGCGCGAUAACAAGUUGUCUCUAUAAUGACGGCCACAUAACCGUAUAAUGAGUAGAUUGUGUCCUUAUAGAAGAGGAAAUCCACUUUUAGACUGCUAGAAUCCGCAUCUCCUCAUCCAUGGUGUCAACGGGGUGAAAUAAUGUCUGAAAACUUUUGACCUGUUCGUCCCCGCCCGUGUUUGCAUGGUGUGAAAUACGAUCUGCCUGAAACAUGUGGUGUUUUAUUUUGAAAAGAAGCCGGAAUUUUUAUUUUGUGUCUGUGCCCGGCUUCCUUUCCAAUCUGUGCUGAAUUUAUGCAGCAUGCUGUGGUGACAGAAAAAAUAGAAACCUGGCAAUCGGCUGAACCGCAGCAGGAUGGAAAGAACCCAGUGGAAAUUUACACGUUAACUUAAAUGGAAAUGAUCAGCUGCGAUCGGCACAUACAGCCUUUUCGCCGCCGUUCCGGAUGCGGUGGAAAUAAGGGGUAACACAGAAUGAAAUGCAAUGAACCUUAUGAAGUGUGAACCGUUAGGGCCUGUGUCCAUUUUAACCUGUUCAUAUCCACCGACAGUGCCUGAUUUCAAUGUCAAACCAUCUCUGGAUAUUCACUCUGUAAUUUGUCCUUGAAUCAAAAAAAUACGAAUCUUAAAAAGAGAUGUAAUGGUCACUACUGAGGAAGCAGAAGUGUUGUGUAGAAUGACUGUGCUUUUAAAUGUAGCCCAGAAUUUGCUCACAUGCCUUAAAACUGAGAAAUAUCAGAAUUUGUCGUAUUUUAUGAAGGAAUUUAAAACAGGAUCAGUAUCAUCUUAAAAUUAGUGCACAAUGUGUGAUAAUCACAGUAAUCAGACUGAUCACAGGUCUGCAGUCUUGGCUGCAGUCGUCCGUCUGUGCUCUCCCGCUGCUCCUGCAGGACCUCUCAGGUCAAUCUGCAGCUACGACUCAACGCCCGGCGGUCACGACUUGUGACUCCUCAGUCAUGCUCACAGAUGAUUGCUGAUCGUAUAGGUGGAGAGGAGGUGCCACAGUAAUUGUUCUUUAGAGUGCCCCAAUUAUGCCAAUAAACGGCCCCUCAGUGAUGAGGCUAAUGGCGGGAGACCUCGUUUGCAUAGCAUUAUCUUAAUUGAGCCCGAGGACUGGCAUGAAAACAAGCCUGAGAUUAUGUUACUGAUGGAUGGUGGCGAUGGUCCGGCGGCAACCAUUUACCCGACAGCUAUAUUAAUUAACAGCUAUCCAGUUACAUGGGCUUUAACAGGGAUGAAUAAGUUAACAUGGUGACUGUGACAGCGCUGGUGACAGCACUCCUGUGCUUAUGUGUGGGCUUCUAAUGGAGGAGACACACUAAUACAAGAUGUGUGUGUGUGUGUGUGCAUGUGUGUGUGUGUGUGAGGGAUGCUAAAGAAGGCCUGGCAUCAGAUCUUAUUACCCAUUUCCUAAAGGAGGAAACCGAGCCAGCGUUAGUACCAGCUUUUAAAUAAAUCACCACACAAAGCCUGUACUAAUACUUUAAAUCGUGAAUUAAUUACACACUCAUUGCAGUAAAUGUUCCAAUAUGCUCAAGCCUAAAAUCUUUAUUGCACAAUAUUUCAGGAACGGCAUCUGAACACAAUGCCAUAAAGCACAGACUCGUCGUAGACCACAACCAGGUCCCAUACAGGAUCUAUCAGGAUGGAGUUUUAAAUGAGGCAGGUAGCUCUUUUGUUAUGUAAAGCUCUGCCAUGCGAUCCUGCAGGAUAAAAGAGUAGAGAAAAAGAAACCGUUCAGAUAAGCUUCCCCUCAUCAGAUAAUUAAGGAUGCCUUUGCUCCAGUUUCCCCUCCUUAGCAUAAGUGUCUGAUCAACUUUCAAAAAGCUCAUCAGUCAGAGUUGCUCCGAGGAGCUUCACUCCCGGGUGCUGGAGCUGGAUCCUCCAGGACUGAUCUGCCCAAGUUGAACCCUGCAGCAGGGGAUCUUGGCCCUCAGCUCACCCUGAACAACUAUAACUUUUGCAGAGUUCAUUUUUCUCAUUAACAGCCGUUGAAUUGUAUUGUUCAUAGACUGUAUUUUAUUAGAAGAUCCAGACUCUUGUUUCCUGAGUAAAGCCAAAACCAGAGUUCCUCCAACCUGCACUAGUGAUUUUCAGCAUUUUCCUUCAGAGAAUCUAGGGUCUCAACCUGAUGUGUGGGUCAAGUGGACUGAAUGAUUGAUGUCUUUGUCUAACAGCCAAAAAUGUUUGUCGUUUGUCACCUGCUGCACUAGGACUGACAUUUUGCUCGACUAUUUGGAUGUAAAUAAGCACAGAUGACAGAUGGCAUCUCACAGAGUAGGAGCAGUUAGCAGUAUUUUGAUGAGUUACAUGUAGGGUGUGUCUGAUUAACCCAGCUGGAGCAAUGCACAACCAGAAAAGGCAUGUGGGCUUUCACCUGCAGGGGGAUCCAAGGCUGGUGGUUCUGUCUCGGCGAAGGUUGGCAACUCUGCAGAACAAUUUGACGUCACUUAGCUGCAGCCUCUGCCAUCCUGGAUGACUGUUUUAAUUUUUUUUAAAUUGCGCUCAGUUUUGACAGGCUCUUUUCUAAUGAUAAAUAAUAAUAAUGCAUCAGAUUUCAUAAAGCGCUUUAUCAGAGACCCUUAAAGCAUUUUACAUUGGAUACAUCAUUCAUUCGCUUACAGUCAAAACCUGGUGGUGGUAAACUACCUUAAUAGUCACGGAACGGAAACAUGACUGCCAAUUAGCGCCCAUGGCCACACAACACUCACAAUCAUACACCAGUAUAGGACACACACCGGGAGCAAAGUGGGAAAGUGUCUUGCCCAAGGAACACAAUGGACAAACUCGAGACAGGUGGGAAUUGGACGGCCAGCCCUUCAGUUAUUGGACGACCGCUCUACCUCCUGAGCUACUGGCCUUUAGACUAGUCUGCUAGUCGGAAUGUAAACUUAAGUGGAAAAUGAGUUAUUUAAAACAUCCCUAGGCAUGGGCUCUUGUUUCAUAUAUGAGGCACAGAGUUUAGCAAAGGAGUAACUUCUGUAAGAGUGAAGUCCCUGUAGACUUGUUUAAUCAUAAACCAUUUCAUAAAAUUAUAUUAUUGGCAUGAUAUUGGUAUCAAAAGGUAAAAACUUUAAAGCGUAUCACUAGUAUCUGCAGUGGACAUUUCUGCUGAUAUGUAUGGCAAAUAUGGUGUCAAAUUAAUGAUGG